GUGAGCAAGUGAGCGUGGGAAACAGAGGGAAUGAACACUGGAACCAGCUGGUCACUCCUCUCUGGUGGGAGCAGGCUCUGUGCAGGCCUGUGGCAGCAUCCAAACCCCUGUCCUCUCGGCACUCAGGUUCUUGUUUGGUGUUCGGGAAGAAUCAGCACAUUGGAGAAAAGAGAGGAGGAAGAAGGAGUUGGGCAGAGACUCUCACCCCUCUGCAAACCAAGGCUCUGAGGCUGGGACCUACUACUCCUUCUGCUAGGAGGUGAGGAUGUGCAAUGGAAGUGAAUUAAAAUGGAUUGGACAAGACUUUGAAAAAAAAAAAACCCUGUGUCAUCCAAGAGAUGGAAUCAGAAUAGGAUCCCUAAGGGACUAGACGUUUAUGAGAAAAAUAAAGCAAUUUCAUGUUUGUUUCACUUGUUCCGUAAAGUAGUUGGCCACACAUGUCUAGGAUGAAUUACACCAAACCAAUCUAGCUUUUAUUUUUUAAUUCAAGACUUCUACACUCACCAUAGAUGGAUAAUUUCUCUAUGCUGAUAAAGCCUGUUAUAUGUUUCUUGCCAUGGUGUCUUUUUAGAAUGCAUAGAGAAAGAGGGAUAUAGGAUCUGAGCUCAAAGAGGACCCCAAAGGAUGUGGGAAAAAUGAAACGCUCAUACACUGUUGGUGAGAAUGGAAGUUAGUACAACCUCUGUGGAAAAUUGGAGAGUUCUCAAAGAAGGAAAAAUAGAACUACCCUUGGAUCUGGCAAUCCUACUACUGGUUGUUAUAUACCUGAAGGAAAAUAAAUCAUUAUAUAAAAAAGACACCUGGACUGUCAGCUGUAGCAGUAUUCACAAUAGCGAAGUCCUGGAAUCAACCCAAGUGCCCAUCACCAGAUGAUUGGAUUAAAAAGUGGUACAUACAUACAUCAUGGAAUACAACUCAGCCAUAAAAAAGAAUGCAAUAUUGUCUUUUGCAGCAACAUGGAUAGAACUGGGGGCCAUUAUCCUUAGUGAAAUGGCCCAGAAACAGAAAAUCCAAAACUUCACUUUCUUACUUAUAUGUAGGUACCCCCAGACAUACAGAGGGAAAUAAUAGACACUGGAGACUCCAAAUGGUGGGCAGGUGGGAGGGGUGAGGGAUCACCUCUUGGGUUCAUUGUACACUAUU
This 1143-nucleotide long non-coding RNA is filed under the name Homo sapiens (human). Its description in RNAcentral is "HSALNT0115713". Lineage: Eukaryota; Metazoa; Chordata; Mammalia; Primates; Hominidae. The record is from RNAcentral.